This is a non-coding RNA of Lactuca sativa (garden lettuce), 892 nucleotides long. The record is from RefSeq and is a predicted model, not a curated record. NCBI's taxonomy places the organism in Eukaryota, Viridiplantae, Streptophyta, Magnoliopsida, Asterales, Asteraceae.
GACAAAUGUUCUCAACCUAAAUUUGUAAUCAGUUCAUCGAUGUUGAUAUGUGUCUUUCUUCCUCACAAAUUUCUGAUAUAUAUUCUCAAAGGUUCAUAACAUCGAUCAUAUCCAAUAAACAUAAGUUACUUUCUUCCAGAAGUGUGCAUGCAAUGGUUGCUUGCCAAGGUAUAUAUCACUACAGCCUACAUGUUCGACAAGAACAAUCGAAAUGUCUUCAUUUCCCAACCCUUACGUAAGCAACCAUUUAAUCAAUAUGUAUAUGAAUUGCGGUUAUUUGGAAUAUGCACGUAAGGUGUUCGACAAAAUAGGUGACAAAAGUAUUUUGUUUUGCAUGGCUUUUAUUUCCUACCAUUAUGUGUUUUGUGUCUUUUCAAUUUAGAAAUCUCGAACUAUAGCAUGAUUUUGGAUUUAAUCUCGUGACUGUCAUUUGAAAACGUCUUUUUGUAGGGUUAUAAUAAACUGAUGUAGGGAAGAGCACCCGACAGCCCCCUCAUUGUCUCCGCCCCUGUUGAUGAUUGAUGUUUAAUAUCCAUAAAAUCAUUGAUGAAUCUAAAAAUACCAAGACCUGGGAUGGGGAUCGAAAAUAAGGACUCGGUAUGUUAAAACUCUUAUAAUGGUGACCAUUUUGCAUAAAAUGGACCAACUGGCUGAAUAGAGGUCAGGUGGCCUUUCUUUCUGGUGUUGAGUAAUCAAGGGGGACUGUGUGCAAUGGCAAUUCAAGAUCUUAACUGAUUAGGGAACAAAAUUAUUAUUACCUCUAUAGAAAUAAUGGGAAAUUGUAUGUCAUGUUAUUAAAUAGAGCCAUUGUUUUUCAUGUUUAUAUGUUGGAAUUGCACCAGUUGUUGAUGUCAAUGGUUGAAUAUUUAUAUAUUUAUCGGUUCAUUGGAUG